This 514-nucleotide ribosomal RNA is filed under the name uncultured bacterium. Its description in RNAcentral is "partial 16S ribosomal RNA". It matches the Rfam family "Bacterial small subunit ribosomal RNA", at positions 28 to 523 of the family's 1533-position model. The record is from RNAcentral.
GAUGAACGCUGGCGGCGUGCCUAAUACAUGCAAGUCGAGCGAACAGAUGAGAAGCUUGCUUCUCUGAUGUUAGCGGCGGACGGGUGAGUAACACGUGGGUAACCUACCUAUAAGACUGGGAUAACUCCGGGAAACCGGGGCUAAUACCGGAUAAUAUUUUGAACCGCAUGGUUCAAUAGUGAAAGACGGUUUCGGCUGUCACUUAUAGAUGGACCCGGGCCGUAUUAGCUAGUUGGUAAGGUAACGGCUUACCAAGGCGACGAGACGUAGCCGACCUGAGAGGGGGAUCGGCCACACUGGAACUGAGACACGGUCCAGACUCCUACGGGAGGCAGCAGUAGGGAAUCUUCCGCAAUGGGCGAAAGCCUGACGGAGCAACGCCGCGUGAGUGAUGAAGGUCUUCGGAUCGUAAAACUCUGUUGUUAGGGAAGAACAAAUUUGUUAGUAACUGAACAAGUCUUGACGGUACCUAACCAGAAAGCCACGGCUAACUACGUGCCAGCCGCCGCCGUAA